CUGGCCCCUGGUGUCUUCUUCUCUGGUGAAUCCCCCUCAUUCCUUCCUGGGUUCCAGGAGGUGAGCAGCUCUCCUCCACCACACCCUUCCACCAUGAUGUUCCUGCCUUGGAGUCAGCCAACCAUGGACUGAGUCCUCUGAAAUCCUGAGCCAAAGUAGACUCUCCUCCUUUAAGUUGUGGGUGUUGGUAUUGUGUGCCAGCAACAAAAAAAUGACCAAUAUAUGCACUAAUUAAAUUUUCUCUGUGUUCAUCAAGGUCCAGUCAGGAGGCAGAAACCAUCCUGUGGUUUGAACAGAGGAAGUUUAACUGCCCAUCUUUCAGGAGAUGUGGCUGGGAAAAGAAGUGACCCCCACGCUGUAAAGCUGAAGAUGGCUCCUACCCACCUGCAUCCGGGGAGCUUUCCCUGGGCUCCAAAGCUUUCACCAGAAACAUCAUUCCUGAUUCAGCACCUGCUUCUGUGCUCGGUGCCUGCCUCAUCCCACCAAGCUUGAGAUAACGAAGCCUAAGUGGAGUUUGGAUUCGGAGCAUAAAGAAAAGCGCUUUCUCCCUGUGCACUGUGGGAGCUGCUGAUCCAAGCCUGCUGCACCGGCAAAUGCUUGCGAAAGGAAUAUUCCCAAGGACAUAUGUUGGGCCAUUCCACAAAUGUCCAGUGGACAUUCUUGUGAUUCUCGGAGCAAAGGGAGAGGCUGGAAAACAGGAUGUGUGGAGAAACUCUCGUCACAGGAGCCCGGCUGGGAGCGGCUGGGGCCUGUCCUCUCAGCCGUCUCCAGAGUGGCGCGGGACUCCCCAGCUCCGCCGAUGGCCGUGGUGAAGCUCUGCCAGGGCCGAGUUCUCAGCUGUGUGGACACGGUGUGUUGCAACAGACCUUCCCUAGAACCUUGUUCCUGCUGCAGUGUAGGAGGUGUGAUUAAGACAUCUCCAUUUAAAAAUGUAUUACAGUAAAAGACGCCUUUCCAUUAAUCCCUCAAAAUACUUCCUCUCACUUGGAACACACUUAUCCUGUCGUUCUUGCCACUUUCUGAAGCAGCCCUGGAGUCCUUUUUCAUUACUGUCUUUACAAAGUGUGUUCAAAAGUGUGGCAAAUGUGCUUGCUGACAGUCAUCUGACAGAAAAGUGGCUCAGAAAAUCACGACGCUGUGUCCCCAGGCACCUUACUCACCGAAUCUGGUACCGUGCAACUUCUGGCCCUUUCCCAAAGUCAAAAUGACCCGGAAAGGUAAACAGUUUGAGCUGAUUCAGGGCACCAAGGCAGCCAGGACCACGCAACUAAAGACAUUUUUUAAAGAGGACUUGCAGAACUGCCUCGGAAGGUGGCAAGGAUG
Long non-coding RNA from Heterocephalus glaber (naked mole-rat), 1323 nucleotides. RefSeq lists it as uncharacterized. Lineage: Eukaryota; Metazoa; Chordata; Mammalia; Rodentia; Bathyergidae. The record is from RefSeq and is a predicted model, not a curated record.